RNAcentral lists this unclassified non-coding RNA (254 nucleotides) under uncultured fungus. RNAcentral's name for it is "sequence contains ITS2". The stretch from base 1 to 52 matches the Rfam family "5.8S ribosomal RNA", at positions 103 to 154 of the family's 154-position model. The record is from RNAcentral. Lineage: Eukaryota; Fungi.
AACGCACCUUGCGCCUUUUGGUAUUCCGAAAGGCAUGCCUGUUUGAGUGUCAUGUGGACUCAACUCUCGAGAGGUUUCUUGCGAGUUGGAUUUGGGUGUUGCCAUUUGGCUCGCCUUAAAAGUGUUAGUGGUUUAAGCACUUGAUCGGACGUGAUAAGUUUCGUCCGGACGUGUGUCGUCGACCGCUCCUAAACCGCCUUGCGGCGCUCUUUGACUCUGACCUCAAAUCAGGUAGGACUACCCGCUGAACUUAA